RNAcentral lists this ribosomal RNA (497 nucleotides) under uncultured bacterium. RNAcentral describes it as "partial 16S ribosomal RNA". It matches the Rfam family "Bacterial small subunit ribosomal RNA", at positions 28 to 507 of the family's 1533-position model. The record is from RNAcentral.
GAUGAACGCUGGCGGCGUGCCUAAUACAUGCAAGUCGAGCGAACAGACGAGGAGCUUGCUCCUCUGACGUUAGCGGCGGACGGGUGAGUAACACGUGUAUAACCUACCUAUAAGACUGGGAUAACUUCGGGAAACCGGAGCUAAUACCGGAUAAUAUAUUGAUCCGCAUGGUUCAAUAGUGAAAGACGGUUUUGCUGUCACUUAUAGAUGGAUCCGCGCCGCAUUAGCUAGUUGUUAAUGUAACGGCUUACCAAGGCAACGAUGCGUAGCCGACCUGAGAGGGUGGUCGGCGACCCUGGAACUGGGACGCGGUCCAGACGCCUACGGGAGGCAGCAGUAGGGAAUCUUCCGCAAUGGGCGAAAGCUUGACGGAGCAACGCCGCGUGAGUGAUGAAGGUCUUCGGAUCGUAAAACUCUGUUAUUAGGGAAGAACAAAUGUGUAAGUAACUAUGCACGUCUUGACGGUACCUAAUCAGAAAGCCACGGCUAACUACGUG